AUUACACGUGAUGAGUUGAUGCCAUUUAUUUAGUGGCAUCGCAAGGAAUCGACAGAAGAGAAUCCCCUCACAAGGAAAGCACAUUUAGUUUAUUUUAAAAUUUGCUCGGUUACUAGCCCGAUGAGUCAGCUGUUUGUGUAUAGCUCAUGUUCUUUUGGAAAGAAGAAAAGAAAAUAAGGAAGAACAGCAGGUGGAUGGCCCCGAGAGUAACGCACAGGCGAAGAGAGAAAUUCCGCAGCUACUCUUUUGAAUUACGUCGCUGACUUGAGUCGUCGUCCGAGGAAAAACAUUAAGUUACAGCUACGAGCCGAAUAGAUUCAGAUUCCCUCUCAUUUUAUUAUUACUCUUUUCUUUCCCCUUUUUAAUACUUGACUUUAGUUCCGCUUCGUUGAGUGUUUCAGAAGAACGUUGUCCCUAAUCGUUAAACGUUCGUGUGGGUGUGUAUAGACGACACAUAUGUCGUGUGUGUGUGUGUACCGCAUUGUGUGUGCAGCAUUAGUUGCGAGAUUGUUUUCCGAUUCUUUUUCAGCGUGGUAAAUGACGAUGACGACCUCCUACGGCAGCUGCGGUCGCCAGCCCAAAACCCAGCCUGUUGCCGAACCCGUUAGAUUUCUCGCUUGAUUAUUUUGCCGGUGUAGGUUUUGAACCUUCUUCCGACACAACUGACAUUUGCGGGUGUUUUCUUCUAUGAGUGCAUACAGUGCUACAUCUCAUCCCGUUGGAUAAAAGACAACCAAAGUAACAACAUCUUCGCGGUGACGAAAGGAUACGCGUCGCGUAGCAAAACAUAACAGAUGUUUGCUCCCAAAGAAUCAUUACGACCUAAUUGUGAAACUUCCGCUUGGGGAGUUUUCGUUUUUAUUUUACUAAAGCUUCCCUUCAAAAAAUAUGUAACCCCCCUUUUCUUUUUUAUUUGGCUUUAUUACGAAUCAUGUCAGUUCGACAUUUGAAAAAACCGGACGUCCGUCUAAAACCGGAAACAAAACUUCCGUUUCGGAAGAUGUAAUAUGAAAGGGCGCGCUCUCAAAAUUAUUCAUCUUUUUUUAGUUGCCUGUUUAAUUUCAGUGAAUGCCUAAUUUUCAAAUGUAUGAUGGUGUGAAUGGGGCGUUGGCUUGUCUUUCCCGUGCCUAACUGCAGAAGUACGCAACGUCAUCCCUGGAAGGUCACUGACCAACCGCAGCAACAACAGCAGCCGCCACGAGGUUCUCCUUUAAACUCAUGCAUCAGGGAACGUGAUGAUUGUAAAAACAAAGAGAAAAUGGCUUACCCGGGAAACGAUCACCAUUUUUCCUUUUUACUUUCUUCUUCGUUUCCUAUUUAAAAAAAAAAAAAAUGUCUUGGGGAUUUUGAAAUUGGUCCGAAAGUCCACAAAAAAGGCCGCGCUGUCGUCUUCGGUCGUCCGCGCGGGCCAAUAUUCACCUCUGCCGCCCGCCUCUGCGGCACAGCACGCAAUUACUUCCAGCCGUCUGUCUGUGUUAGAAAUGAAAAUAAAAAAUGUAUACCACACACAGAAAAAAGAGAUAUAAUGAUGGCAAUAAUAACACCAUCAAAAAGCUUAAAAAUCAGUCUGCAACACAAGCGGGAAAAACAAGAAGCCAAAAAGCUUUUUUUUUUGUAUGCGUAACAUAGAAAAUUACGCGUUUUUGAUUACGGAAAUGAGGACUUGCGAUCAGGUUGACAAACAAUUGACAAGCAAAAAUCUGAAUUUAUUAGAACGAAUGACGUUAUCGCGGUCUUCUUAUUCAAUGCACAGUAGACACAAUAACAUUUGUACGGGUUUCUGCACAGUCAGGUUUCUUUCCCUCUUAUGUUUUGUCACAUUAUUUGUUGUUUCCUUAAGCCAUCUUAACUUAAAAUGUACGUACUCUUCUUCUUAUUCCCCGUCUCCUUUCGUUUGUUGGAAAACCCAGUUAGCUGUAGGGUAGUCACUACUUGGGAUUAUCACCUGAUCGUUAAGCCCACGUGAAAUCAUCUCCUGAAAUCGAUUCUUUUAAUUGGAUGUGAAUACAAUUAUUCUUCUCGCCUAUUUUUAUUUUUAAAUUAUUAUCUGAGCCUCUAUUUUUAACAGUUCAGCCACGUGGAAUAAUUUCUCGUAUAAUAGUGGACACAGGGAAUUUUGAGGUAAAGCUUGUGACUGCGGCUUUUCUGACGAGCAAUCCGUUACCAUCAACGCCGACCACUCUGCGUGGAAAUAAAUGAAUUUACAAAGAAAAAAAUAUAUAUUU
This 2225-nucleotide long non-coding RNA is filed under the name Daphnia magna. RNAcentral describes it as "uncharacterized LOC116918026". Lineage: Eukaryota; Metazoa; Arthropoda; Branchiopoda; Diplostraca; Daphniidae. The record is from RNAcentral.